GUGGAUUAGGUACCCCGGUAGUCCACGCUGUAAACGAUGUCAACUAGCUGUUGGUCUUAUGAAUGAGAUUAGUGGCGCAGCAAACGCGAUAAGUUGACCGCCUGGGGAGUACGGUCGCAAGAUUAAAACUCAAAGGAAUUGACGGGGGCCCGCACAAGCGGUGGAGCAUGUGGUUUAAUUCGAUGCAACGCGAAGAACCUUACCUACCCUUGACAUACAGUGAAUUUUGCAGAGAUGCGGAAGUGCCUUCGGGAACACUGAUACAGGUGCUGCAUGGCUGUCGACAACU
RNAcentral lists this ribosomal RNA (289 nucleotides) under uncultured bacterium. Its description in RNAcentral is "partial 16S ribosomal RNA". It matches the Rfam family "Bacterial small subunit ribosomal RNA", at positions 773 to 1060 of the family's 1533-position model. The record is from RNAcentral.